RNAcentral lists this ribosomal RNA (253 nucleotides) under uncultured bacterium. Its description in RNAcentral is "partial 16S ribosomal RNA". It matches the Rfam family "Bacterial small subunit ribosomal RNA", at positions 524 to 776 of the family's 1533-position model. The record is from RNAcentral.
UACAGAGGGGGCAAGCGUUGUUCGGAAUUACUGGGCGUAAAGGGCGCGUAGGCGGCCUGUUAAGUCGAACGUGAAAUCCCCGGGCUCAACCCGGGAACUGCGUCCGAUACUGGCAGGCUUGAAUCCGGGAGAGGGAUGCGGAAUUCCAGGUGUAGCGGUGAAAUGCGUAGAUAUCUGGAGGAGCAUCCGUGGCGAAGGCGGCCACCUGGACCAACAUUGACGCUAAGGCACGAAAGCGUGGGGAGCAAACAGG